Molecule: ribosomal RNA, 713 nt
Filed under: Priestia aryabhattai
Lineage: Bacteria; Bacillati; Bacillota; Bacilli; Caryophanales; Bacillaceae
Description: bacterial SSU rRNA
Rfam family: Bacterial small subunit ribosomal RNA
Source: RNAcentral
UGCAGUCGAGCGAACUGAUUAGAAGCUUGCUUCUAUGACGUUAGCGGCGGACGGGUGAGUAACACGUGGGCAACCUGCCUGUAAGACUGGGAUAACUUCGGGAAACCGAAGCUAAUACCGGAUAGGAUCUUCUCCUUCAUGGGAGAUGAUUGAAAGAUGGUUUCGGCUAUCACUUACAGAUGGGCCCGCGGUGCAUUAGCUAGUUGGUGAGGUAACGGCUCACCAAGGCAACGAUGCAUAGCCGACCUGAGAGGGUGAUCGGCCACACUGGGACUGAGACACGGCCCAGACUCCUACGGGAGGCAGCAGUAGGGAAUCUUCCGCAAUGGACGAAAGUCUGACGGAGCAACGCCGCGUGAGUGAUGAAGGCUUUCGGGUCGUAAAACUCUGUUGUUAGGGAAGAACAAGUACGAGAGUAACUGCUCGUACCUUGACGGUACCUAACCAGAAAGCCACGGCUAACUACGUGCCAGCAGCCGCGGUAAUACGUAGGUGGCAAGCGUUAUCCGGAAUUAUUGGGCGUAAAGCGCGCGCAGGCGGUUUCUUAAGUCUGAUGUGAAAGCCCACGGCUCAACCGUGGAGGGUCAUUGGAAACUGGGGAACUUGAGUGCAGAAGAGAAAAGCGGAAUUCCACGUGUAGCGGUGAAAUGCGUAGAGAUGUGGAGGAACACCAGUGGCGAAGGCGGCUUUUUGGUCUGUAACUGACGCUGAGG